Molecule: ribosomal RNA, 216 nt
Filed under: Campeiostachys nutans
Lineage: Eukaryota; Viridiplantae; Streptophyta; Magnoliopsida; Poales; Poaceae
Description: Elymus nutans partial small subunit ribosomal RNA
Rfam family: Eukaryotic small subunit ribosomal RNA (bases 42-216)
Source: RNAcentral
GGAUCAGUUGGUCGGUCGUGCCUCGGUACGUACUGGUCAAAUUGAUUCCUACCUUCUGACGAACCACGAUGUCAUUAAUUUGGUGCGCUGGGGAAGCAGGACUGUUACCUUGAAAAAAUUAGAGUGCUUAAAGCAGGCUAUCGCCUGAAUACAUUAGCAUGGAAUAAUGAAAUAGGACGGCAUGGUUCUAUUUUGUUGGUUUCUAGGAUCACCGUA